RNAcentral lists this ribosomal RNA (483 nucleotides) under uncultured bacterium. Its description in RNAcentral is "partial 16S ribosomal RNA". It matches the Rfam family "Bacterial small subunit ribosomal RNA", at positions 30 to 506 of the family's 1533-position model. The record is from RNAcentral.
AUUGAACGCUGGCGGCAUGCCUUACACAUGCAAGUCGAACGGCAGCGCGGACUUCGGUCUGGCGGCGAGUGGCGAACGGGUGAGUAAUACAUCGGAACGUACCCUGUUGUGGGGGAUAACUAGUCGAAAGAUUAGCUAAUACCGCAUACGACCUGAGGGUGGAAGUGGGGGACCGCAAGGCCUCACGCAGCAGGAGCGGCCGAUGUCUGAUUAGCUAGUUGGUGGGGUAAAGGCCCACCAAGGCGACGAUCAGUAGCUGGUCUGAGAGGACGAUCAGCCACACUGGGACUGAGACACGGCCCAGACUCCUACGGGAGGCAGCAGUGGGGAAUUUUGGACAAUGGGGGCAACCCUGAUCCAGCAAUGCCGCGUGUGUGAAGAAGGCCUUCGGGUUGUAAAGCACUUUUGUCCGGAAAGAAAUCGCGCUGGUUAAUACCUGGCGUGGAUGACGGUACCGGAAGAAUAAGCACCGGCUAACUACGU